GGGCCCGCACAAGCGGAGGAACAUGUGGUUUAAUUCGAUGAUACGCGAGGAACCUUACCCGGGCUUGAAUUGCAGAUGAAGGAUCCAGAGAUGGUGACGCCCUUCGGGGCAUCUGUGAAGGUGCUGCAUGGUUGUCGUCAGCUCGUGCCGUGAGGUGUCGGCUCAAGUGCCAUAACGAGCGCAACCCCUCUCUUCAGUUGCCAUCAGGUAGAGCUGGGCACUCUGGAGACACUGCCACCGCAAGGUGUGAGGAAGGUGGGGAUGACGUCAAAUCAGCACGGCCCUUACGUCCGGGGCUACACACGUGUUACAAUGGGGGGUACAGAAAGCCGGCUGCCCGCAAGGUCAGUCCAAUCAAGAAAGCCUCCCUCAGUUCGGACUGGGGUCUGCAACCCGACCCCACGAAGCUGGAUUCGCUAGUAAUCGCGCAUCAGCCAUGGCGCGGUGAAUACGUUCCCGGGCCUU
Molecule: ribosomal RNA, 465 nt
Filed under: uncultured bacterium
Lineage: Bacteria
Description: bacterial SSU rRNA
Rfam family: Bacterial small subunit ribosomal RNA
Source: RNAcentral